This 366-nucleotide unclassified non-coding RNA is filed under the name Hevea brasiliensis (rubber tree). The record is from RNAcentral. Lineage: Eukaryota; Viridiplantae; Streptophyta; Magnoliopsida; Malpighiales; Euphorbiaceae.
CAGGUAUGAUGUUGGCUUUUUCUUUUGUCUUUGCUUGUGUGGUUUUAAUCUCCAAAUUUUCUAGGUGAUAAGUCAAUAUAGCACUAAUGAUCUAGAAAGAACACAAGGUCCCAUGCCCUUUAAUUUCUAAUUCAUCCCUCCUCAACACAAGAGGUGAGGAGGGUUGAGGGCUGGUUUUUGAAUGGCAACCUACUGCUUCUUGUCAAGGCUAGACUGCACUGGGCGGGUAACCUAUUUUAUCAUGGAAACUGAAUUAUUUCCAGCUAAAGACAACAGAUUUAUAUAUAAUUUUUUGGGGAAUAUAUUACUGAGAGAUUAGCUCUGUUGAACAGGUAUCAAGUGCUGGCAGGUGUUAUCGAACAGCGA